GGGCGAUUAGCUCAGUUGGCUAGAGCACCUGGUUUACACCCAGGGGGUCACAGGUUCGAAUCCUGUAUCGCCCACCA
This 77-nucleotide transfer RNA is filed under the name Candidatus Peregrinibacteria bacterium. Its description in RNAcentral is "tRNA-Val". It matches the Rfam family "tRNA". Rfam says of the family: Transfer RNA (tRNA) molecules are approximately 80 nucleotides in length. Their secondary structure includes four short double-helical elements and three loops (D, anti-codon, and T loops). The record is from RNAcentral. Lineage: Bacteria; Candidatus Peregrinibacteriota.